CUGGGGACAUACUACAGGAGAGGGUCAGAGACUGGGGACAUACUACAGGAGAUGGGGGUCAGAGACUGAGGACCCACUACAGGCAGGGGGUCAGAGACUGAGGACAUACUACAGGAGGGAGGUCAGAGACUGAGGACAUACUACAGGAGGGAGGUCA
Long non-coding RNA from Nanorana parkeri, 157 nucleotides. RefSeq lists it as uncharacterized. The record is from RefSeq and is a predicted model, not a curated record. Lineage: Eukaryota; Metazoa; Chordata; Amphibia; Anura; Dicroglossidae. The transcript is spliced from 3 exons.